Molecule: ribosomal RNA, 499 nt
Filed under: uncultured bacterium
Lineage: Bacteria
Description: bacterial SSU rRNA
Rfam family: Bacterial small subunit ribosomal RNA
Source: RNAcentral
ACAUGCAAGUCGAACGCAUUGUGGUUGAAAUGAUAUGAGGAACUUGUUCAGAUUUGAUUUUCAACAUUGCAAUGAGUGGCGAACGGGUGAGUAACACGUGGGAAACCUACCUCUUAGCAGGGGAUAACAUUUGGAAACAAAUGCUAAUACCGUAUAAUAAUUAAAACCGCAUGGUUUUAGUUUAAAGAUGGUCUUGCUAUCACUAAGAGAUGGUCCCGCGGUGUAUUAGUUAGUUGGUGAGGUAAUGGCUCACCAAGACAAUGAUACAUAGCCGAGUUGAGAGACUGACCGGCCACAAUGGGACUGAGACACGGCCCAUACUCCUACGGGAGGCAGCAGUAGGGAAUCUUCCACAAUGGACGAAAGUCUGAUGGAGCAACGCCGCGUGUGUGAUGAAGGGUUUCGGCUCGUAAAACACUGUUGUAAGAGAAGAAUGACAUUGAGAGUAACUGUUCAAUGUGUGACGGUAUCUUACCAGAAAGGAACGGCUAAAUACGUG